CUACCUUCUCGGCCUUUUGGCUAAGAUCAAGUGUAGUACCUGGUCUUAUCAGCUUAAUACCUGAUACAGCACACUUGUGUGCUGAGUUAUUACGUGAACUUUUCACGGAGGUGGCGGGUAGCUCUGGGGAAACUCAGAGUUCGCCCGGGUUGCCCAGGAGCUGCACUAAGGGCUACUUCGU
Diplonema papillatum is the source of this 181-nucleotide non-coding RNA. Lineage: Eukaryota; Euglenozoa; Diplonemea; Diplonemida; Diplonemidae. The record is from the annotation of a GenBank genome assembly.